UUAUGGCUCAGGACGAACGCUGGCGGCGUGCCUAACACAUGCAAGUCGAGCGAGGAGAUCCUCGGGAUGAUCCUAGCGGCGGACGGGUGAGUAACACGUGGGCAACCUGCCUCAUAGAGAGGAAUAGCCUUCCGAAAGGGAGAUUAAUACCUCAUAACAUUGCAGUUUCGCAUGGAACAGCAAUUAAAGGAGCAAUCCACUAUGAGAUGGGCCCGCGGCGCAUUAGCUAGUUGGUGAGGUAACGGCUCACCAAGGCGACGAUGCGUAGCCGACCUGAGAGGGUGAUCGGCCACAUUGGGACUGAGACACGGCCCAGACUCCUACGGGAGGCAGCAGUGGGGAAUAUUGCACAAUGGGGGAAACCCUGAUGCAAGCAACGCCGCGUGAGUGAUGACGGCCUUCGGGUUGUAAAGCUCUGUCUUCAGGGACGAUAAUGACGGUACCUGAGGAGGAAGCCACGGCUAACUACGUGCCAGCCGCUGC
Molecule: ribosomal RNA, 483 nt
Filed under: uncultured bacterium
Lineage: Bacteria
Description: bacterial SSU rRNA
Rfam family: Bacterial small subunit ribosomal RNA
Source: RNAcentral